This is a long non-coding RNA of Apis dorsata (giant honeybee), 401 nucleotides long. RefSeq lists it as uncharacterized. NCBI's taxonomy places the organism in Eukaryota, Metazoa, Arthropoda, Insecta, Hymenoptera, Apidae. The record is from RefSeq and is a predicted model, not a curated record. The transcript is spliced from 2 exons.
AUUCUGAAGAAUAUUUUCUGUAAUGAAAAUAUGGUAACAAUCUUUCGCAUCGUUACACAUUAAAAAUAUCAGACAACGGAUAGUAAAUCAGAGGGAGGAUUUCACGGACAAACAGUGUGCACGCUACAGCGAUAGAUAACGGAGGCCGAGACCGUUGUUGGCGGAGAACAGGGCAGUUUUAAGGUGCUGAUUUAUCGUGAACACCGUUUAAAGAUGAAAGCAUACUCCGUCGAGAAAUCGUGACUCGUUAAUCGCUACCAUCGUCGAUUUCUUUGACCAGUUAUUAACGAGCCGCUGAAUCGCGUCGAUCCUAUUCCCGGAUGAUCGAGAAAACGUAUGGAUUUUUUUUUAUCCUUUCAUGCGAUAUAAAAAUAAAAAAAUAAAAAAUUCGAAACAAAAUA